RNAcentral lists this ribosomal RNA (467 nucleotides) under uncultured bacterium. RNAcentral's name for it is "partial 16S ribosomal RNA". It matches the Rfam family "Bacterial small subunit ribosomal RNA", at positions 28 to 507 of the family's 1533-position model. The record is from RNAcentral.
GACGAACGCUGGCGGCGUGCUUAACACAUGCAAGUCGAACGGAAAGGCCUCUUUCGGGGGGUACUCGAGUGGCGAACGGGUGAGUAACACGUGAGCAACCUGCCCUUGACUUUGGGAUAACUUCAGGAAACUGGGGCUAAUACCGGAUAGGAGCUCCUGCUGCAUGGUGGGGGUUGGAAAGUUUCGGCGGUUGGGGAUGGACUCGCGGCUUAUCAGCUUGUUGGUGGGGUAGUGGCUUACCAAGACUUUGACGGGUAGCCGGCCUGAGAGGGUGACCGGCCACAUUGGGACUGAGAUACGGCCCAGACUCCUACGGGAGGCAGCAGUGGGGAAUAUUGCACAAUGGGUGGAAGCCUGAUGCAGCAACGCCGUGUGCGGGAUGACGGCCUUCGGGUUGUAAACCGCUUUCGCUCAUGACGAAGCUUUGUGUGACGGUAGUGGGUAAAGAAGCACCGGCUAACUACGUG